GGCUGAGAUACGGCCCAGACUCCUACGGGAGGCAGCAGUGGGGAAUAUUGCACAAUGGGCGCAAGCCUGAUGCAGCGACGCCGCGUGGGGGAUGACGGCCUUCGGGUUGUAAACCUCUUUCACCAUCGGCGAAGCCAGAUGCUUUUGUGUCCGGUGACGGUAGGUGGAGAAGAAGCACCGGCCAACUACGUGCCAGCAGCCGCGGUAAUACGUAGGGUGCGAGCGUUGUCCGGAAUUACUGGGCGUAAAGAGCUCGUAGGUGGUUUGUCGCGUUGUCCGUGAAAUUCCCUGGCUUAACUGGGGGCGUGCGGGCGAUACGGGCAGACUGGAGUACUGCAGGGGAGGCUGGAAUUCCUGGUGUAGCGGUGGAAUGCGCAGAUAUCAGGAGGAACACCGGUGGCGAAGGCGGGUCUCUGGGCAGUAACUGACGCUGAGGAGCGAAAGCGUGGGGAGCGAACAGGAUUAGAUACCCUGGUAGUCCACGCCGUAAACGGUGGGUACUAGGUGUGGGUUUCCUUCCUUGGGAUCCGUGCCGUAGCUAACGCAUUAAGUACCCCGCCUGGGGAGUACGG
Molecule: ribosomal RNA, 572 nt
Filed under: uncultured bacterium
Lineage: Bacteria
Description: bacterial SSU rRNA
Rfam family: Bacterial small subunit ribosomal RNA
Source: RNAcentral